UACGUAGGGUGCGAGCGUUGUCCGGAAUUAUUGGGCGUAAAGAGCUUGUAGGCGGCCCGGUAAGUCCGCUGUGAAAGUCGGGGGCUCAACCCUCGAAUGCCGGUGGAUACUGUCGGGCUAGAGUGCGGAAGAGGCGAGUGGAAUUCCUGGUGUAGCGGUGAAAUGCGCAGAUAUCAGGAGGAACACCGAUUGCGAAGGCAGCUCGCUGGGACGUUACUGACGCUGAGACGCGAAAGCGUGGGGAGCAAACAGG
Molecule: ribosomal RNA, 253 nt
Filed under: uncultured bacterium
Lineage: Bacteria
Description: partial 16S ribosomal RNA
Rfam family: Bacterial small subunit ribosomal RNA
Source: RNAcentral